CUCAGAAUCCCCAAACCUAAAAUGUGGUAAGACUCUGGCCAGAAGAGCCCUUUGGAGAACAACAUUAUGGGAAUAUUGGCAGUGCUUUGAAGUCACCUGGGCCAAGCCCCUGCUCCCACCUCCUCUCCAGAAACGAUGCUUCCAAAGGAUCAUACAGCAGCUCCCAGGAAUUCACACAGCUUGCUCAACCAAGAUAAUCGGAUCCAGCUAAAACCACAUGAAGAAAUUUGUCUUUGCUCGGGCAUAUAAGUGUAGCCUUGAAAAUUAGCAGGACAACUUCCCAGACCAGAACAGCACGGACAACGACCACAAAUUACCAGCUUGCUUUCCCUCAGCGGAGAGAGACAGAGGAGGAGUAAAAUUUGCACGAGAUCAACGUUCUCAUCUUCCUCCUGCCACUUCUACCCCAAGAGGCCUCUGCGUACUCCUAGCAGAGCAGGAGUUGACCCUCGUAGAAGAACUGCGGUGGCGGGCAGUGUCAUUUCUCACUUUCUUUCUUGCUAACAGACUCUGAUUCUGUGGAGGGUAUUCACACCCCUCCGGGCAGCCUUAUGCCUCAGGGGAAGUGAGUUGCAUCCCCAAGCCCAGGGAAGUAUCUGGAGGAGCCUAGGUGUUUGUUUUAGUCCCAAUUUCUUUAUGGGUGACUGGCUUAAGAAUAAACAGAUGACGUAAUUCUGGCCAAUGAGACAGGAGGGAAAGGCUGCUGGGGAACUUGGGAAAAGGUUUUCUCAAUUUCAGUCAACCCACAAGAAGAGACAAUUCUGUGCUGUCCCUGGGCCAUGUCUUUGGUUGUGAUGCCUGGAGCUCCUGCAACCAUUCCGUAAUCAUGAGGGGAGCCAGCCUGGUGGUAAAGCCAAACACAGAAAGGCAGAGGCAAGAGAAUCUCAGAAAAACAGAACUAGAGUCCUAAUGUACUUAACCAGGAGCCUUCCCUACCUAUUUACUUGAGUUAUGUGAUGACCAACUGCCUUCUUGUUUAAGCCCGAGUCAGGAUUGCCUAGUACUUUCAGCCAAAAGAUCUGAACUGAUACGAUCAGUGUCCAAAAUAUGAGAUAUGUGCACAAAUAUAAACAAGACCCAUAAACAUGUACAUUUGUGUCUAAAAGUCCCACGUGUAGGUCUGCUGAGGAAGAAUGAAGGGGCUGUGCACUUAUGUAUAAGAACAAGGAAAAAGGAGGCCACUUGAGUGGCCAGGCAUUAAAGCCCUAACUGUACAAAAGGUACCAUAUGGGCACAGACGUACAAGUAACUCAAGUGAUACACUUGGGCAGGUAUAUGGGAGAGCAGGGGCACUGCAGUUUCAACAAAAUAAUGUUUCCUGACAAGGGGGAAGGGCAAACAAAGACUAUAAAACCAACACAAGAAUCUCAGCAUGAAUCUCUCUGCCAUCCCCUAGUUGCACCCACGGCUUUGCAGUCUCAUAAACCCAAAAGGAAAUUGGCCUGAGCUCUCUGCUCAUCUGCAUUGAUCGUUUCCUGACAACCAACAUAUUACAGUCUUGACUCCCAAGAGCAUCUCUGUGGCUGCGGAUCUGGGUGAUAAACUGCGAUUUCUUAGAGCUGGGGGAAAGAAAUCAUUGGAGGGAAAUAUUCUUAUCUUUUCAGAAAUAACUUCAAGCUUUGCAAACCUCUAUUUUUGACACCAUCAAUCUGGUUUCCUCCAACAGCAUAUUUGAGGCAGGAAUUGUAACUAUCGUUGUAAGAAUGUCGUUGUCAAGGCAAGGAUGGUCAUGUAUAUACCACUUAGGCAAGUUGACAGAGCCCUUUCAAAUUCUCAUGCCACGUCAUCUCAAAAAAUACCAGCUAAGGUGGUCACAUUUUCUUAUCUCAAGUUUAGAGAUGGUGGAUGCCUUGCCCACAGUCACGUGGCUGCUGAGUCAGUAGGCUGGGACCAGGGUCUAGGACCACCCACACUCAUCUUACGUUCUUUUCUAAUGAAAAGGGAUCCCCUUCUUGAAAUAAAGAGGUGCUUUGACCUUCCACCCAAUGGUUUGGAAACAGUGGCUUGGGGGCAGCAGCUUGCAUCUUGGAUUGUGCAUUUCUCCUUAGAGACAGCUCCCUGAGAUUCCAACCCUAAGUGGCAGAUCUGCCUGGAAACAAGGAAUGCAGUGAAAUUUGGCCAUGACCAGCAUCUCUGGAUCUGGGGGUUUAGGGAGUGUUAGAGGCACCUGCAAGAGCUUCUAGGCAGAGAAUAACCAACAAAGACCCCUGAUCCACUUGCAUGAAGGGCACUUAGUGCUCUGCCAGAAAUCCUGAAGAAUGCCACCACCCCGACUCGGGGCAUUCCCAUGGAACUCAUCCACUUCCUGUCCCUCCCAGAUGCUUGGGAAGAAAUGGGACAGAGCACGUGCCAAACAGGUUCAGGCCCAUCUGGGCACUCUGUCACAUGAGUUAUCACAUCUGCUGGGGAGGCAAAAACAGAACCCCAAACCCCCGGAACAGUCCAGAAUGCGAUCCACUGAACAUCUGCGUCCACAGAGAGAUGCUAACAAGUGUACCUCAAAAAUCAAGUUUUGGGGGGGAUCCAAUAAAUUUGGGAAAUGCUGCAGACCCAGGUGUUCUCCUACAAAAUUGCAAUGACCUUUACCAUUAGAAGCUCUCAGAAUCCCACAGUAAAACAAAAAACGUAUUCAAUCCAGGUUUUCCCAAACUUAUUUGACCCUGGAACUUUUUUUUCUGAAAAACUCCCAGAGCACCAUUUGGGAAAUCCUGCGUUAAAGGCAGCUGGGGAGAAGACAGAAGGGCAGUUGCACUCAGGGUUUCUUGGCUAAGAGGUUCCGUGCUCCCCACCACAGCUGGUAAAUCGGCCCUGGCAGUUCCUCUUCCAGAAAAGACAGGGUCCGUGGCUGAUUGGCUCAGAAGAGGAGGAAGAGACAAGCCACUCCCUCCCUCCUGAUGUAGGAACCACUGGUCCCAGCUAAAGGGACACAGUUCACAGACCUACUAGUUCCAGCUUUGGUCAUCUUUGUGGACGUCCUCGCCUUUUAGGCUGGUAUGGUAAGGGGAGUGCAUCAAGCAAUUGCCCUGAGGAAAGAGAGUGAGGACGGGACCUCCAAACAGCUGCAAUGUAGCCAAAGAGAGGUAAAGAAGGGUUGGUCCUUCACCCUAUCCCAGGGCCCACGUCAGAGUGCCCAGCACUUAAUAAGAGCUCAAUGGAUGUUUGUUGACUGACUGAGGAAUAAAGGAGAAAAGGGGGUUGGAGGGAACCAACACAGAUGGGGUAUCAACAGCCCAAUGAGAAUGACGUGCUGUGAGGGACCCCAGGACAGAGCUGCCGGCUCAGCCAGGGAGGACGAGUGACAGGCCUAAGAAAGCAGGAUGUAGAGGUGACCAGCCAGGAGAGGCUGAAGGUUGAACGCACACGCAUGGUUCAAAGUGUAGAGACUCACGUGGAAAACAGAGUCCUGAAGGCCUGAAAGGAGGUCCGAAAGACCAGGGCCAGCUUGAAAAUGACACAUGGGGAAAGAGAAGGCAUUAGCAAGGUUUCUGGGAAACCAAAACAGAAAAGGGUUCGGAUGCCCAAAGAGGUGAGGGUCACUGGGGGCUCCGGGUGGGCACCAUAGAGAGUCACUGUGACAAAAUGCUUUUGAGACGCUGUGAAGGCAUGAGCACGCUGGUCAGAAAAUCUAGGCGCCAGUUCUGUAGUCAAUGUGGCAAUUGGCCUCAGACCAAUGACAAGUUAGAAGUGAAGUAUGCUCACUAUAGGCCAAAUAACUAUCUGAUGAGAAUUACACCAUCAUCAGUUGCUGGUAUAGUUUAGAGCAGAAGACAUAUAGAAGCACACACUUGUGUGUACACACACAUACAUAGACACACUCGAGAAAGCACACAGAGUAGGUGGGUGUGCACUGACAAGUCCAAGAGACCCUGGGGCAGGACCUGAGCAGUGGAGGCUAGUCUAAUAUGAAAUGAAAAGAACCUAAUCUGCCUUGGUACUGCCACCUGGAAGACAGUUUGGCUGUUUCUUACAAAGCUAAACAUCCUCUUACCAUACGAUGCAGCAAUCACGCACCUAGGCAUUUAUGCAAAUGAGUUGAAAACUUAUGUCCAUGCAAAACCUGCACACAAAUGUUUAUAGCAGCUUUAUUCAUAAUUGCCCAAACUAGAAUGCAACUAAGAUGUCUACUGUAGGUUGAGUUGUGUCCACCCACACCCCCCACCCUGCAAAAAACAGGUUGAAUUCCUAAUCCCAGUACCUUAGAAUGUGACCUUAUUUGGAAACAGGGUCAUUGCAGAUGUAAUUAGUUAAGUCAAGAUGAAGUCAUACUGGAAAAGGAUGGGCCCCUAAUCCAAUACGGCUGGUGUUCUUGUAAGAAGAAGGCCUUGUGAAGACAGACACACAGGGAGGAUGCCAUGUGAGGACAGAAGGUUGGAGUGAUGCAGUGGCAAGCCAAGGGAUACCAGCAAACCACCAAAAGCUGAGAACAGGGAAGAAGGAUUCCCCUACAGGUUGCAGAGGGAGCAGAGUCCCCUGAGACCUUGAUUUUAGGCUUCCAGCCUUCAGAACGACGAGACAAUACAUUUCUAUUGUUUGAAAUCACACAGUUUGUGGUACUUUGCCACAGCAGCCCUUAGACACUGAUACAAUGUCCUUCAAUAGCUGAAUAGAUAAACUGUGGUAGAGCCAUACGAUGAAGUAUUAUUCAGUGAUGAAAAGAAAUAAGCAAUCAAGCCACAAAAAGACAUGGAAGAACCUUAAAAUGCACAUUGCUAAGUGAAAGAAGCCAAUCUGAGAAGGUUACAUACUGUAUGAUUCCAGCUAUAACGACAUUCUGGAAAAGGCAAAACUAUGAAGACAGUAAAAAAGAUUAAUGGUUGCCAGGGGCUGGGGAGGGGAAAUGAAUCUUGGACCACAGGAGAGUUUUAGGGUAGUGAACCUAUUGUGUGCGAUACUUAAGUGAUGGAUACAUGACACGAUGCUCUUGUAAAACCCAUAGAACUGUACAACACGAAGAGUGAACCCUGCUGUAAACGAUGGACUUUAGUUAAUGAUAAUAUAUCAAUAUUUGUUCUUCAAUUGUAACAAAUGUACCACACUAAUUCCAGAUGUUAAUAAUAGGGGAGAUUUUGGUGGGGGAAGUGUGAGGGGGUAAAUGGGAACACUCUGUACUUCCUGCUUAACUGUUCUGUAAACCUAAACCUGCUCUAAAAAAUUUUUAAAAAUUAAGAAACUGACUUAUCCCCAGGGCCAAGUAUUUCCUUAUCUGAAGGCAACCAUGGUCCCUUGGGAACUUGAUUUUGGGGAAGAAUUCAGAAAGGAGGGUAAGUCCCAACAGCCAGACCAAGGCUGACCCAGCUUCAUGACUACAGGGACCUUCAGCCAAGGUUCUCUUCCCCAUAGGGCUGUCCUUAUCCUGGAAACAGGGAGAACAUCGAACCUCCACAAUACAGCAUUCCUCAAAAGCCAGCUUCCCUGAGUCCAGGAGGUGGAGAGUAAAUGCUUGUGGACCACUGGAAUCCUAGGCAAUGUGAUCUGACAGGGAAAGGAUGCAUCCUGGAGUCAGUAGGUCUGGGUUUUCACCUCAGGCUCUCUCUUAACAGCUGUAUGAUCUGGGACAAGUCCUUUAAGCUCACUGAACCUCAGUUUCUUUAUCUAUAAAAUGGGUAUAUCAGCCUCUCCCUCAGAGAGUGGGCGAAAGAUUGCAUGAGGUAAAAAAUGGAAAGCCAAGCCCAGGGCUUGGUCCAGAGGAGGCUGUUGAUGCAGAUCAACGACCUUUCCCUCGGUCUGUGACAUCUCUCGAGAGCCUGCGCCUGGAAUGAAGACACACUCACCAAGCGUCAUCUGACACACGGUUGGUUGGUAUCUUCUUCAACCCUAGUCCCAUGCUGUGUUUCCACAGACAAUGAAGACUGGUAACACAGGGGACUUCCCUGGUGGUCCAGUGGUAAAGAAUCCGCCUUCCAACGCAGGGGAUGCAGGUUCGAUCCCUGGUCGGGGAACUAAGAUCCCACAUGUCGCGGGGCAACUAAGCCCGAGCGCCACAACUACUGAGCUCGCGCGCCUCAACGAGAGAAGAAAAAACCUGCACGCCACAACUAGAGAGAAGCCCGUGCGCCGCAACUAGAGAAAAGCCCACGUGCCGCAAUGAAAGAUCCCACGUGCUGCAACUAAGACCAGAUGCAUCCAGAAAUAAAAAUAAAUAAGUAAAUAAAUAAAGGAAAAAUUAAAAACAAACAAACAAAAAAGACUGGUGACACAUAAGAGCUACUUCUUGGAAUAAGUUCAAAGUCAGGUUUGGGAAACAGGACCCACAUCUUUGAGAAGGGACAGGAUGACCUAAGAUUUGACUCAAAAUCAUGCAAGACUACUGUGCAUGGCUUUUCCUCUAAGCCAUGGGGAAAGGUCACUUUUCAAUAGGAUGGGCCUAGGAAGAACUCACAGGUGGUUGGAAGUGAGCCAGAUGCCCAGUGAUGAGUAGGUACAGGAAGGAAGAAAAGGGAGUGAGGGUAUGCGGGGAGGGAGAUGGGCAUUUCAAGCAGGAAUUACACUGUGGUAACAGUCGUCGGAGUUGUGAGCUUGGAGGGAGACCUGGAAAGAAGUGACUAGGGGGGGAGGCUGGUGAAUCAGCAGCAGAAAGGAGCAAGGCGAAGACACGAGGCCCCAGGAGUGGCCCCAAGGGGGCAGAGGGUCCCAUCCUGCAUCUUGGAGAUCAGCCCGGGUGGCAGUAAGUCUCUGAGGGUAGGGACCAUGCAUGCCUUGUUCCCCAUUGUUUCCAGAGCCAAAAAGAAGGCCUGACACAAACCCUCAAUGAAUAUUUAUUGAAUAGAUGAAAGGGAGAAAAGUCAGCACUGCGUGAAUGACUCAGAUGCUAAUGAAGAGGAGGGGCCCAAAGGAAUAUGCUCAAGUUUUACCAAGAGAACUCGGGGGUUCCUGGGGAAACAGAGCUACCAGGCAGGGAACGUGAAGAGGUAUAGUGCUGAGUGGAAGGGGACAAUGUCUGAAAGGGGAGGUGAGAGCAAAGGAUGGCUGGCCAGGGUCAGGGAGAGUCCCUGACUACAGGCCCACCAGGAGGGGAGAGGUCAUAGGGAGGGGUGGGGAGCUGGGAACGCUGACGCUGGGAAGAUGCACCCCUUCUGAGACAGAAACAACCUGAGAAUAAAGGCAGACAGCCUGGCCUGGGGACAGAGGGCAGGAGGGGAGGGUGACACGGGUUAGCACCCCCAGCUGGCCUCUGCUCUCUCAACCAAGAGGCAAAGUUGUCCUCUGAGAAUGGUUUUGGGAAAAGGGGAUGAACAGAGAACCCCAGGGCCUUGAACAGAGCCAAGCAGCCUUCCAACCGAGCAACGGGCAAGAGCCAAAGCAUGACUCCUAACACAGCCGCCUGCAGCCCGGCCCAGCACAGGCACCACAACUGCAGCCCAGCGCAGUCACAAGGGGGACAAAAGUCACCUAGUGCCCAACGUGGCUACAAAUAGCUUGAAACUUCUCCCCAGUGACCCAGCUAGACCGGCCCCUUGCUGUCUCAUUCAGAAGGACCUAGCCUCAAAUUGGCUGUGUGACAUGGAGGGCUGUACCGGUUUCCUGAUGCUUUUGAGCAUCAGGGGGCUUUAAAUAAAUAAUGAGGGUGGCCUCACUAGACUGCAGAUUCUAUAUCCAACCCCGAAGAGCAGCGUCUUUAUUCAGCUCUUCCAGCACCCCUGGAAAGGCCGAAUAAAUUUAGAAUAAAGACAAUGCCAAAUGCAGAGCACUCGGGCACAUGGGUGAGGGGCUGCAAGCAUCUGAUAAUGGAUGGUACCAGGUGAGCUCUAAACAUCCUUGCAGCCCUGACACACUAUGAAAAAUGCUAUGGACCAGACUGAAGACAGAUAGAAAGUGAGAAACCAGGAGAGGAGCAGCGUCUUAAUCACUCCAGCCAGAAAGGUCCCACCACUUAUGAUAAACACGUGUGUAAAGAAAGAAAAACACUUCUGUGCUAAAUCCAUCACCGGAGGACGUGCGGAAAUGACCCCUAAAUUCAGGUAGCUAAUGUCCCUGCGAUUUCUCCCCACAGUCCGCGUUGUUAAAUGGGACGAGGAAGGGACUCAGAUGGGAGACCUCCCCCGCAGGGCCCCAAGAUAUGAGCAUUUCUCCUCCCUUAAUCCCUUGCUUCUUGCCGUCCCCCCUCCCCAAAGGAGUGACCCCAGCCCUGUCUGCAGCAUCAUAAACGUUCACUGCUUAUUUAUCCGCCAAGGCGCAUGUGGUUUUAAUUAUUUAUGAUAGUGUUUCAUCGCACAUGGGGAUGUGUCUUGGAGUCCCUUCCCUUGACUGAUGAGGCCUUUGUAAUCAGAGACCUGCUGCUUCCCAGCCGGUAAAUCUCAGCGAGGAGAGGGCCAGGCGCUCCCUUCCAGGACUGUGUGAGUCAGCCAUGGAUUCACAGAGGGAGGAUUAGCCAAAUCCGGUUACAAGGCUCCUGCACGUUGUUUGUCCUUUUGCCACACAUGUUUUCUGAAAACAAUUAAGAGCCAUCCGCUGUCUACUGACAGGACAAAACGUACCGCUUCCCUGAAAAGGGCAUCUUCCCUAAUAUCAGAGGGUUUGGAUAAGCUGGAUUCAUCCGGGGAUUUUGCUCUGAUGAGGUCUUGUUUGUUCCCUACUCCCUCAAGUCUUGUCACUAAACCUGCUUCCUCUCUGUCUCCACCGAUCCCUUCCUGUGUACACAGAAGUGCUGUCUGGACGUAGAAAGGCCGUCUGCUUUGAGUCACAAACACAAGGAGCUGUGGAGACGCUUCUCCCCUGCACCAUUUCCCAGGGCGACAGCUCCUUGGCUGGGUGCUGGGUCCUGACAUCAAAGGACACUCAGAACCCACCGGUCUCUCCACGGUGCCCACUCAUUCUGAUGGCCCAGAGGGAUCUUCCUCCUCACAUGCCACAUUCGCCCCAUCUGGAAACUAUGCCACCACCUGGUAUCAGGAGCCCAUGGGACCCUACUCUAUCCCUUGUAGCUUCCACUACAGGGAACAAAGCCCAUCCUCGU
This is a long non-coding RNA of Balaenoptera ricei (Rice's whale), 8953 nucleotides long. RefSeq lists it as uncharacterized. The record is from RefSeq and is a predicted model, not a curated record. The transcript has 3 exons. NCBI's taxonomy places the organism in Eukaryota, Metazoa, Chordata, Mammalia, Artiodactyla, Balaenopteridae.